GUGUUAAUUACAACAAGUAAUGAAAGUUCAUUUUCCCAGCCUGUUCAGUGCUUACCUGUGAGUGACCCAAGGAAUCUGAAAGAGAAGAAACUUCAAUGCAGUCUCCACCAGACAAAGUGAACAGAGUAAAACCUCUGUUGCCUCCGUGGGCAGCCACUGGAGACUCCCAGCUUCUCCAAAAAAUUGGAUUCUUGACUGCAAUUUUUGGCCAAUAUUAUAUUUGCAAUGGUCUCGGGACAUAUUGCUUCUAAAUGUCAAGUGUCUGCUACAUCAGCUCACAGGAGAGGUGAGACCUUUUAACAAAUCG
RNAcentral lists this long non-coding RNA (307 nucleotides) under Mustela putorius furo (domestic ferret). Its description in RNAcentral is "lncRNA (ENSMPUG00000025623.1)". The record is from RNAcentral. Lineage: Eukaryota; Metazoa; Chordata; Mammalia; Carnivora; Mustelidae.